This 499-nucleotide ribosomal RNA is filed under the name uncultured bacterium. Its description in RNAcentral is "partial 16S ribosomal RNA". It matches the Rfam family "Bacterial small subunit ribosomal RNA", at positions 28 to 507 of the family's 1533-position model. The record is from RNAcentral.
GACGAACGCUGGCGGCGUGCCUAAUACAUGCGAGUCGAGCGAAGUUUUUCUGGUGCUUGCACCGGAAAAACUUAGCGGCGAACGGGUGAGUAACACGUAAAGAACCUGCCUCAUAGACUGGGACAACUAUUGGAAACGAUAGCUAAUACCGGAUAACAGCAUUAACUGCAUGGUUGAUGUUUAAAAGUUGGUUUUGCUAACACUAUGAGAUGGCUUUGCGGUGCAUUAGCUAGUUGGUGGGGUAAAGGCCUACCAAGGCGACGAUGCAUAGCCGACCUGAGGGGGUGAUCGGCCACACUGGGACUGAGACACGGCCCAGACUCCUACGGGAGGCAGCAGUAGGGAAUCUUCCGCAAUGGGCGAAAGCCUGACGGAGCAACGCCGCGUGAGUGAAGAAGGAUUUCGGUUCGUAAAGCUCUGUUGUUAGGGAAGAAUGAUUGUGUAGUAACUAUACACAGUAGAGACGGUACCUAACCAGAAAGCCACGGCUAACUACGUG